This is a non-coding RNA of Phoenix dactylifera (date palm), 795 nucleotides long. The record is from RefSeq and is a predicted model, not a curated record. Lineage: Eukaryota; Viridiplantae; Streptophyta; Magnoliopsida; Arecales; Arecaceae.
AACUUCUCCUCUCUCCUUCCUUUUCUUCUCCCAACUUCUUUCCAAACCUCUCCUCUCCCUUUUCUCCUGCCGCGAAGAGGGAAGGGGAGAUCCGCCUUUUCUUCUCCUUUCUUCUCUCGCGAAGGGAGGAGGGCGAGCUCCCCCUCACGGGAGGGGUCGGGCCGCGGCCGGCGGCACCCGCGGCCGCGCCUGCGGCGGCCGGCCCCCUCUUCUCCCGCGGAGAAGAGGGAUGCUCGGGAGGGGGCCGACCCGAGGCCGGCGACGCCGCGGUCAAGGAUCCACCGUUCUGCUUCACCGUCUUCACCUUCAUCGUGACCAACAAGGGCGCUGGCAAGCGAGCGAGGUCGUCUCCGGCCGGCUGCCGGGGUUGCAAUUUACAAGGAGUACCGCCGACCGCGGGCCCCUCCCCCCCUCCACCUGCAGUCAAGAAAGGCUUCAAAACCCAUUCCAAACUCUCCCCAGAGAGCAGAGCAAAAGGAGAAAGAAAGAAAGAAAGAAAGAAACACUGUGCUUCUUGAAAGCAAAAGGGAGGUUGCAUGAUGCCGUUGGACCCCAUACGAAGUUUGUGAGGUGCCCUAAGGGCUGAAGGGGAGCUACAGAAGAGGAAGGAGGUCGUGCACUAUGUCACUCUUUACGAGAUCGAUGUCAUCAACAGCAGAGCUGCAGGAGGUCAGGUUUCAUGGACUGGGUGAGAAAAUAUUAGUUAGAUUUUUGUAUGGAACACUGGAUAUGUCUGAACAUUGUAAGUGAACAACUUUAUUGCUAGUUAUUGAUGGAAUAUUUUGACAAUUAUAA